RNAcentral lists this ribosomal RNA (253 nucleotides) under uncultured bacterium. RNAcentral's name for it is "partial 16S ribosomal RNA". It matches the Rfam family "Bacterial small subunit ribosomal RNA", at positions 524 to 776 of the family's 1533-position model. The record is from RNAcentral.
UACGGAGGGAGCUAGCGUUGUUCGGAAUUACUGGGCGUAAAGCGCGCGUAGGCGGCUUUGUAAGUUAGAGGUGAAAGCCCGGAGCUCAACUCCGGAACUGCCUUUAAGACUGCAUCGCUUGAAUCCGGGAGAGGUGAGUGGAAUUCCGAGUGUAGAGGUGAAAUUCGUAGAUAUUCGGAAGAACACCAGUGGCGAAGGCGGCUCACUGGCCCGAUACUGACGCUGAGGUGCGAAAGCGUGGGGAGCAAACAGG